Molecule: ribosomal RNA, 484 nt
Filed under: uncultured bacterium
Lineage: Bacteria
Description: partial 16S ribosomal RNA
Rfam family: Bacterial small subunit ribosomal RNA
Source: RNAcentral
AUUGAACGCUGGCGGCAGGCCUAACACAUGCAAGUCGAGCGGAUGAAGGGAGCUUGCUCCUGGAUUCAGCGGCGGACGGGUGAGUAAUGCCUAGGAAUCUGCCUGGUAGUGGGGGAUAACGUCCGGAAACGGGCGCUAAUACCGCAUACGUCCUGAGGGAGAAAGUGGGGGAUCUUCGGACCUCACGCUAUCAGAUGAGCCUAGGUCGGAUUAGCUAGUUGGUGGGGUAAAGGCCUACCAAGGCGACGAUCCGUAACUGGUCUGAGAGGAUGAUCAGUCACACUGGAACUGAGACACGGUCCAGACUCCUACGGGAGGCAGCAGUGGGGAAUAUUGGACAAUGGGCGAAAGCCUGAUCCAGCCAUGCCGCGUGUGUGAAGAAGGUCUUCGGAUUGUAAAGCACUUUAAGUUGGGAGGAAGGGCAGUAAGUUAAUACCUUGCUGUUUUGACGUUACCAACAGAAGAAGCACCGGCUAACUUCGUG